UACGUAGGGGGCUAGCGUUGUCCGGAUUUAUUGGGCGUAAAGAGCGUGUAGGCGGCCAGGUAGGUCUGGUGUGAAAACUCGAGGCUCAACCUCGAGACGUCGGCGGAAACCAUCUGGCUAGAGUCCGGAAGAGGAGAGUGGAAUUCCUGGUGUAGCGGUGAAAUGCGCAGAUAUCAGGAAGAACACCCGUGGCGAAGGCGGCUCUCUGGGACGGUACUGACGCUGAGACGGCGAAAGCAUGGGGAGCGAACAGG
This 254-nucleotide ribosomal RNA is filed under the name uncultured bacterium. RNAcentral describes it as "partial 16S ribosomal RNA". It matches the Rfam family "Bacterial small subunit ribosomal RNA", at positions 524 to 776 of the family's 1533-position model. The record is from RNAcentral.